Molecule: ribosomal RNA, 375 nt
Filed under: uncultured bacterium
Lineage: Bacteria
Description: bacterial SSU rRNA
Rfam family: Bacterial small subunit ribosomal RNA
Source: RNAcentral
AUUGAACGCUGGCGGCAUGCCUUACACAUGCAAGUCGAACGGCAGCACGGGAGCAAUCCUGGUGGCGAGUGGCGAACGGGUGAGUAAUACAUCGGAACGUGCCCAGUAGUGGGGGAUAACCCGGCGAAAGCCGGACUAAUACCGCAUACGACCUACGGGUGAAAGCGGGGGAGUCGCAAGACCUCGCGCUAUCGGAGCGGCCGAUGUCAGAUUAGCUAGUUGGUGGGGUAAAAGCCUACCAAGGCGACGAUCUGUAGCUGGUCUGAGAGGACGACCAGCCACACUGGGACUGAGACACGGCCCAGACUCCUACGGGAGGCAGCAGUGGGGAAUUUUGGACAAUGGGCGCAAGCCUGAUCCAGCCAUGCCGCGUGC